RNAcentral lists this ribosomal RNA (388 nucleotides) under uncultured soil bacterium. RNAcentral describes it as "bacterial SSU rRNA". It matches the Rfam family "Bacterial small subunit ribosomal RNA", at positions 26 to 420 of the family's 1533-position model. The record is from RNAcentral.
AGAUUGAACGCUGGCGGCAUGCCUAACACAUGCAAGUCGAACGGGAGUAGCAAUACUCUAGUGGCGGACGGGUGAGGAAUACGUAGGAAUUUGCCCUUAAGUGGGGGAUAACCCGGGGAAACCCGGAUUAAUACCGCAUGACCUCGAAAGAGCAAAGUGGGGGAUCGCAAGACCUCACGCUUUUGGAGAAGCCUACGUCGGAUUAGCUAGUUGGUGAGGUAAUGGCUCACCAAGGCGACGAUCCGUAGCUGGUCUGAGAGGAUGAUCAGUCACACCGGAACUGAGACACGGUCCGGACUCCUACGGGAGGCAGCAGUGGGGAAUAGUUGGACAGUGGGACGCAAGCCUGACUCCGAGCAAUCGCCGCGUGUGUAGAAGAAGGCCGUUC